AUUACUCGGCGUUGCAGAGAAAUAAAUGCGACGGCAUCCCGCCCGCUGAGUGGCAGCGGCUCUAUAAGUCAAAUCCCGGAUGCGAUGGAGGAAC
RNAcentral lists this non-coding RNA (94 nucleotides) under unclassified sequences. RNAcentral describes it as "GP20-a RNA". It matches the Rfam family "GP20-a RNA". Rfam says of the family: gut metagenomes. Environment (Cow rumen (57)) The record is from RNAcentral.